UACAUGGGGUGCAAACGUUGCUCGGAAUUAUUGGGCGUAAAGAGCUCGUAGGCGGUUUGUCGCGUCGAAUGUGAAAACCCUGGGCUCAACCCCGGGCCUGCAUUCGAUACGGGCAGACUAGAGUUCGGUAGGGGAGUCUGGAAUUCCUGGUGUAGCGGUGAAAUGCGCAGAUAUCAGGAGGAACACCGGUGGCGAAGGCGGGUCUCUGGGCCGAAACUGACGCUGAGGAGCGAAAGCGUGGGGAGCAAACAGG
Molecule: ribosomal RNA, 253 nt
Filed under: uncultured bacterium
Lineage: Bacteria
Description: partial 16S ribosomal RNA
Rfam family: Bacterial small subunit ribosomal RNA
Source: RNAcentral